UAGUAUAGAGUUCAGUGUUAAUCACACGGUCGCCAUCUUUGAUUUUUCUCGCCCGGGUCAGGAAUCGUGACCCAACCAAAUAGUACGGGCUAAGAAGUUAUAGCCCGAGUCACCCGGAAUCGGAGCGCUCCUAUUGGUUGAUAGUUUCGCGUCGUCUGCUCUGGUCUGCAGUCAAGUAAACAACACAACUAAAUGCAAAUAAUUAUGGAGGAUUAUUACGAAUACAAACAUGAGUUUGUUUUUGAAGGCAUAUUUUAUAAAAUGAUUGGAAAGUAGGAAAUUCACACAUUAUUGGCUGCUUGGACUUCUUCCAGUCCUAUCUGAAACAAAACUAUGGCCACAUCGAGAUGGCUGGUUUAGCAGCAGAAGUCACCACAGAGGGUCAUGUGUGGACUACUGAUGCAACAAAAGUGAAAUUUAUUUGGGAUUAAAAGUUAACAGACCGUUGUGCAACCCGGUGAUAAUCUUGUAUUAAAGGAAGUUCUUAUGUAGCAAGCACAAGUUAUGAAGUUGGUAAAGGCUAUUAUUAAUUACAUCAGAUGACUUUUGUUGCUGCAAGAGUGUCGACCAUGUUCAUCUACUGAAGCUGCAAUGACAUCCACUAUCUCUUAGAAUGUUCUAUGAGCAGUACUUUGAGAAAAAUAUUAUAUCUGUCAGCAGCAGCUAAGAAUGUCUCUGGUUUGCUCAACAUCCAAACUGUAAAAAGUAUUUUCUCCUCAAGAGGUAUUUUUAUAUUUGCAGGCUGGUUAAUUCUCC
Molecule: long non-coding RNA, 756 nt
Filed under: Nilaparvata lugens (brown planthopper)
Lineage: Eukaryota; Metazoa; Arthropoda; Insecta; Hemiptera; Delphacidae
Description: uncharacterized LOC111045577, transcript variant X2
Source: RNAcentral